RNAcentral lists this transfer RNA (73 nucleotides) under Actinomycetes bacterium. RNAcentral's name for it is "Actinobacteria bacterium tRNA-Ala". It matches the Rfam family "tRNA". From Rfam's summary of the family: Transfer RNA (tRNA) molecules are approximately 80 nucleotides in length. Their secondary structure includes four short double-helical elements and three loops (D, anti-codon, and T loops). RNAcentral also lists the same sequence under 1 other name. The record is from RNAcentral. Lineage: Bacteria; Bacillati; Actinomycetota; Actinomycetes.
GGGGCCAUAGCUCAGCUGGGAGAGCGCUUGCAUGGCAUGCAAGAGGUCACGGGUUCGAUCCCCGUUGGCUCCA